CGGAGGUGCAAGCGUUAUCCGGAUUCACUGGGUUUAAAGGGUGCGUAGGUUGGAUUAGUAAGUCAGUGGUGAAAUCUCUGGGCUUAACUCAGAAACUGCCAUUGAUACUAUUAAUCUUGAAUACCGUGGAGGUCAGCGGAAUAUGUCAUGUAGCGGUGAAAUGCUUAGAUAUGACAUAGAACACCAAUUGCGAAGGCAGCUGGCUACACGAAUAUUGACACUGAGGCACGAAAGCGUGAGGAUCAAACAGGAUUAGAUACCCUGGUAGUUCACGCCCUAAACGAUGGAUACUCGACAUUUGCGAUAAACUGCAAGUGUCUGAGCGAAAGCAUUAAGUAUCCCACCUGGGAAGUACGAUCGCAAGAUUG
RNAcentral lists this ribosomal RNA (368 nucleotides) under uncultured organism. RNAcentral describes it as "bacterial SSU rRNA". It matches the Rfam family "Bacterial small subunit ribosomal RNA", at positions 527 to 896 of the family's 1533-position model. The record is from RNAcentral.